RNAcentral lists this ribosomal RNA (468 nucleotides) under uncultured bacterium. RNAcentral describes it as "partial 16S ribosomal RNA". It matches the Rfam family "Bacterial small subunit ribosomal RNA", at positions 28 to 507 of the family's 1533-position model. The record is from RNAcentral.
GACGAACGCUGGCGGCGUGCUUAACACAUGCAAGUCGAACGGAAAGGCCCUGCUUUUGUGGGGUGCUCGAGUGGCGAACGUGUGUGUAACACGUGAGUAACCUGCCCUUUACUUUGUGAUAACUUCUGGAAACUGGGGCUAAUACCGGAUAGGAGCUCCUGCUGCAUGGUGUGGGUUGGAAAGUUUCGGCGGUUGGGGAUGGACUCGCGGCUUAUCAGCUUGUUUGUGGGGUAGUGGCUUACCAUGGCUUUGACGGGUAGCCGGCAUGAGAGGGUGACCGGGAACAUUGGGAAUGAGAAAGGGCACAGAGGGCAACGGGAGGCAGCAGUGGGGAAUAUUGAAAAAUGGGCGGAAGCAUGAUGAAGGAAGGCCGGGUGGGGGAUGACGGCCUGCGGGUUGUAAACCGAUUUAGAAUGUGAAGAAGAGUGAGUGACGGUAAUGGGUAAAGAAGCACCGGCUAACUACGUG